GAUGAACGCUGGCGGCGUGCCUAAUACAUGCAAGUCGAGCGAACGGACGAGAAGCUUGCUUCUCUGAUGUUAGCGGCGGACGGGUGAGUAACACGUGGAUAACCUACCUAUAAGACUGGGAUAACUUCGGGAAACCGUAGCUAAUACCGGAUAAUAUUUUGAACCGCAUGGUUCAAAAGUGAAAGACGGUCUUGCUGUCACUUAUAGAUGGAUCCGCGCUGCAUUAGCUAGUUGGUAAGGUAACGGCUUACCAAGGCAACGAUGCAUAGCCGACCUGAGAGGGUGAUCGGCCACACUGGAACUGAGACACGGUCCAGACUCCUACGGGAGGCAGCAGUAGGGAAUCUUCCGCAAUGGGCGAAAGCCUGACGGAGCAACGCCGCGUGAGUGAUGAAGGUCUUCGGAUCGUAAAACUCUGUUAUUAGGGAAGAACAUAUGUGUAAGUAACUGUGCACAUCUUGACGGUACCUAAUCAGAAAGCCACGGCUAACUACGUGCCAGCAGCCGCGGUAAUACGUAGGUGGCAAGCGUUAUCCGGAAUUAUUGGGCGUAAAGCGCGCGUAGGCGGUUUUUUAAGUCUGAUGUGAAAGCCCGCGGCUCAACCGUGGAGGGUCAUUGGAAACUGGAAAACUUGAGUGCAGAAGAGGAAAGUGGAAUUCCAUGUGUAGCGGUGAAAUGCGCAGAGAUAUGGAGGAACACCAGUGGCGAAGGCGACUUUCUGGUCUGUAACUGACGCUGAUGUGCGAAAGCGUGGGGAUCAAACAGGAUUAGAUACCCUGGUAGUCCACGCCGUAAACGAUGAGUGCUAAGUGUUAGGGGGUUUCCGCCCCUUAGUGCUGCAGCUAACGCAUUAAGCACUCCGCCUGGGGAGUACGACCGCAAGGUUGAAACUCAAAGGAAUUGACGGGGACCCGCACAAGCGGUGGAGCAUGUGGUUUAAUUCGAAGCAACGCGAAGAACCUUACCAAAUCUUGACAUCCUUUGACAACUCUAGAGAUAGAGCUUUUCCCUUCGGGGGACAAAGUGACAGGUGGUGCAUGGUUGUCGUCAGCUCGUGUCGUGAGAUGUUGGGUUAAGUCCCGCAACGAGCGCAACCCUUAAGCUUAGUUGCCAUCAUUAAGUUGGGCACUCUAAGUUGACUGCCGGUGACAAACCAGAGGAAGGUGGGGAUGACGUCAAAUCAUCAUGCCCCUUAUGAUUUGGGCUACACACGUGCUACAAUGGACAAUACAAAGGGCAGCGAAACCGCGAGGUCAAGCAAAUCCCAUAAAGUUGUUCUCAGUUCGGAUUGUAGUCUGCAACUCGACUACAUGAAGCUGGAAUCGCUAGUAAUCGUAGAUCAGCAUGCUACGGUGAAUACGUUCCCGGGUCU
RNAcentral lists this ribosomal RNA (1372 nucleotides) under uncultured bacterium. RNAcentral's name for it is "bacterial SSU rRNA". It matches the Rfam family "Bacterial small subunit ribosomal RNA", at positions 28 to 1381 of the family's 1533-position model. The record is from RNAcentral.